UACGUAGGGGGCAAGCGUUGUCCGGAAUCAUUGGGCGUAAAGCGCGUGUAGGCGGCUCGAUAAGUCUGCUGUGAAAGUCCAGGGCUCAACCCUGGAAUGCCGGUGGAAACUGUCGAGCUAGAGUCCGGAAGAGGCGAGUGGAAUUCCUGGUGUAGAGGUGAAAUUCGUAGAUAUCAGGAGGAACACCGGUGGCGAAGGCGGCGUUCUGGACUGCAACUGACACUGAGGAACGAAAGCCAGGGGAGCAAACGGG
Molecule: ribosomal RNA, 253 nt
Filed under: uncultured bacterium
Lineage: Bacteria
Description: partial 16S ribosomal RNA
Rfam family: Bacterial small subunit ribosomal RNA
Source: RNAcentral